This 253-nucleotide ribosomal RNA is filed under the name uncultured bacterium. Its description in RNAcentral is "partial 16S ribosomal RNA". It matches the Rfam family "Bacterial small subunit ribosomal RNA", at positions 524 to 776 of the family's 1533-position model. The record is from RNAcentral.
GACGUGGGGCGCGAGCGUUGUCCGGAUUUAUUGGGCGUAAAGAGCUCGUAGGCGGCUCGUUGCGUCGGCUGUGAAAACCCGCAGCUCAACUGUGGGCUUGCAGCUGAUACGGGCGGGCUUGGAUUCGGUAGGGGAGACUGGAAUUCCUGGUGUAGCGGUGAAAUGCGCAGAUAUCAGGAGGAACACCGGUGGCGAAGGCGGGUCUCUGGGCCGAUAUCGACGCUGAGGAGCGAAAGCGUGGGGAGCGAACAGG